This 236-nucleotide unclassified non-coding RNA is filed under the name uncultured fungus. RNAcentral describes it as "sequence contains ITS1, 5.8S rRNA gene". The stretch from base 188 to 236 matches the Rfam family "5.8S ribosomal RNA", at positions 1 to 49 of the family's 154-position model. Lineage: Eukaryota; Fungi. The record is from RNAcentral.
UCUCCGUUGGUGAACCAGCGGAGGGAUCAUUAUAGAGUUUUCUAACUCCCAAACCCUUUGUGAACUUACUAUUUUGUUGCCUCGGCGGGCGGCCCCAGGGGGGGCCCGCGGCCCUACGGUGCCCGCCGGAGCUACAAAACUCUAGCUGUUUUUAGUAACCUUCUGAGGAACAGGCAAAUAAAGUUAAAACUUUCAGCAACGGAUCUCUUGGUUCUGGCAUCGAUGAAAAACGCAGC